This 85-nucleotide transfer RNA is filed under the name Aestuariivita sp. RNAcentral's name for it is "tRNA-Leu". It matches the Rfam family "tRNA". Rfam says of the family: Transfer RNA (tRNA) molecules are approximately 80 nucleotides in length. Their secondary structure includes four short double-helical elements and three loops (D, anti-codon, and T loops). Lineage: Bacteria; Pseudomonadati; Pseudomonadota; Alphaproteobacteria; Rhodobacterales; Paracoccaceae. The record is from RNAcentral.
GGCGGUGUGGCGGAAUUGGUAGACGCGAACGACUCAAAAUCGUUUUCCAUUAGGAGUGCGGGUUCGAGUCCCGCCACCGCUACCA